AUGGGAAAGUUAGAGCUGAAGCUCCCUCCAAAUGAUUACUGGGGCAAGGUAGCUGUACACAGGAAGCUCUCUUAUACUUUGUGUCUGCUGAGCUGGCCCUGGACUGGCGGUCUUGAUGCCGUGAUGGAGCUACCCUAUGAGGAGGACAUGGUAACUGCACAAACGGGGACUGUUGACAAAAACCUUUUGGAGGCAGCUGGACCAGAGAUGCUGAUGAAAAAGAGACAAGAACAAAGACUCUACUCAAGUCCUACACUGAGGAUAUAUCAUAGCAUAUGAUGAACUCUCAAACCCAAUACCCUGGGCCUAUGCCAAACUGACAAGUCUUGAAGCGUUGAACAAAAUGUCUAUCAUGGAACAUUUCAGAACAGAACCAAAGAUUCAUCACCAAACUGUUGGCAACAGUAUGAUGGACUUUUUAAACCUUAAUGGAGGUGACUUUCUAUUAUUGUGAUUUGGCAAAAUAUAUUGAUGUGUUGUUCAAAAAAAAGUACACAUCAAAAAUUUGUGGAUCUUUUGAAGGACUUAAAUAAUGAAGUAUAUAACUAUGGGCAUGAAGUACUUUUAGAACAAUAAAGGAGGAAGGCAUAAAGAGAUGUUUUGGAUG
RNAcentral lists this long non-coding RNA (607 nucleotides) under Monodelphis domestica (gray short-tailed opossum). RNAcentral describes it as "lncRNA (ENSMODG00000046233.1)". Lineage: Eukaryota; Metazoa; Chordata; Mammalia; Didelphimorphia; Didelphidae. The record is from RNAcentral.